Molecule: ribosomal RNA, 253 nt
Filed under: uncultured bacterium
Lineage: Bacteria
Description: partial 16S ribosomal RNA
Rfam family: Bacterial small subunit ribosomal RNA
Source: RNAcentral
UACGUAGGGUGCAAGCGUUAAUCGGAAUUACUGGGCGUAAAGGGCUCGUAGGUGGCCAACUAAGUCAGACGUGAAAUCCCUCGGCUUAACCGGGGAACUGCGUCUGAUACUGGAUGGCUAGAGUUUGGGAGAGGGAUGCGGAAUUCCAGGUGUAGCGGUGAAAUGCGUAGAUAUCUGGAGGAACACCGGUGGCGAAGGCGGCAUCCUGGACCAACACUGACGCUGAGGAGCGAAAGCCAGGGGAGCAAACGGG